GAUAUUCCACCCAAAACCCUCAUUCAUCCGAGUACGGCAUAUUUACAACUCGCAAUCGAGUUCGCCUGAAGGAUGAAUGAGGAAUUAUGGUAUGCCGAAUGGAUAGCUUUUAAACGCGUGUUUCCACGUUACAUGGAAAUAAAAUAGCAAUCCCGGUUGGAUCAAUCGUCUCAUUUAAUUUCCUUAUCGUGUACGUGUAUGCACCGGCAAAACACCAAAAUCCAAAGCGAAAGAAACAUCCAAAGAAUUUUGACAAAAAAACGCUGUGCGCUUGAAUCACCUAACGAUUUUCAGAACGCGAGGCAUACAUCCACUUUCACGUUCUGCUGUUCUCUGCUAUAUUUUCCGUCUACUUGAACAAUACUGUCGUGCGGUUGGUUUUCUAGCGAACAUCGUAAGAAGCUAUUACCUAACUGAAUAUAUCAUGUCUACUUCUGUGUAUGAAGGUGUUGAAAAGGGGCCAGCCAUUGAGGUGUUUGCCCUAAAUCGGGCAUUUUGCAGAUAUUCCACCCAAAACCCUCAUAGUGAUUUAGUGGAAAAUCGUGAACUCGGAAAAAGCCAACCAUUAUUGAAAUGAUGCUGGAU
Rhagoletis pomonella (apple maggot) is the source of this 585-nucleotide long non-coding RNA. RefSeq lists it as uncharacterized. The record is from RefSeq and is a predicted model, not a curated record. The transcript is spliced from 3 exons. Lineage: Eukaryota; Metazoa; Arthropoda; Insecta; Diptera; Tephritidae.